CUGUCUUGACAUCAUUGGCAGACAUUACUUUAGGAAAACCUCAGGAAAACCAUUAUUUCAUUAUACUAGAGUAAGAUUUUCUGUCUUUAGCAGUGACUUUUUUUAACUCCUUGUCAGUCAAAAUGCCCUAAACAAAUGAUAUAAAAAUAUUAUUGGAAAUAUUAUUUGUGAAACUUUUUCUUAUGAUUUUUCAAAAAUGUAUUCACUAAUGUAGAGUGCUUUAUAGAGUAGCAAAGCAGUCUUUGACUAGAAUGAAGUUAACCAAAUCUGUCUAGCAACACUCAAUUUGUAAGAAACAUUUAAGAUAGUUAUUCUUUUAAUUUUAGUUUUAAUGUGAGUUACAGGAGCAUAUUGUAAUAAUAAAAAUAUUCUUUAAAUCAUGUUUAGGUUAUUUAUUGGCAGGUUCUACUUAU
This 413-nucleotide long non-coding RNA is filed under the name Bos taurus (domestic cattle). Its description in RNAcentral is "long non-coding RNA NONBTAT018445". Lineage: Eukaryota; Metazoa; Chordata; Mammalia; Artiodactyla; Bovidae. The record is from RNAcentral.